GUGUGAAGGUGCUGAGCACGCUCCCAUAUGAAUCUGCAAGAGGAGGGCCGCAAAUCCUGCAGGCAGCAUGAACGAGAGACUUCAGUCAGCCAUGGCUGCUGUCAUCACUCAUCAGCUACUGUACAGCAUCCAGUAAAACACAGUGAAUUUUGCACUAAAAUGCAGGUUCCACUUCCAGACAGGAUUUUGAAUAGCUUUCUCUGACGGAUUGAAAUUGCAGUUCUCCAUACAGAAACUGAGGUGUACAAUAUAAAAAAAAAGAAACUGAGGUGUACAAUAGCCA
This 283-nucleotide unclassified non-coding RNA is filed under the name Hevea brasiliensis (rubber tree). The record is from RNAcentral. Lineage: Eukaryota; Viridiplantae; Streptophyta; Magnoliopsida; Malpighiales; Euphorbiaceae.